GUUAAGUGGGAAACGAUGUGGGAAGGCCCAGACAGCCAGGAUGUUGGCUUAGAAGCAGCCAUCAUUUAAAGAAAGCGUAAUAGCUCACUGGUCGAGUCGGCCUGCGCGGAAGAUGUAACGGGGCUAAACUAUGCACCGAAGCUGCGGCAGCGACACUAUGUGUUGUUGGGUAGGGGAGCGUUCUGUAAGCCUGUGAAGGUGUGUCGUGAGGCAUGCUGGAGGUAUCAGAAGUGCGAAUGCUGACAUAAGUAACGAUAAAGCGGGUGAAAAGCCCGCUCGCCGGAAGACCAAGGGUUCCUGUCCAACGUUAAUCGGGGCAGGGUGAGUCGACCCCUAAGGCGAGGCCGAAAGGCGUAGUCGAUGGGAAACGGGUUAAUAUUCCCGUACUUGGUGUUACUGCGAAGGGGGGACGGAGAAGGCUAUGUUGGCCGGGCGACGGUUGUCCCGGUUUAAGCGUGUAGGUGUGUGUUCCAGGUAAAUCCGGUUCACUUUAACACUGAGGCGUGACGACGAGGCACUACGGUGCUGAAGCAACAAAUGCCCUGCUUCCAGGAAAAGCCUCUAAGCAUCAGGUAACAUCAAAUCGUACCCCAAACCGACACAGGUGGUCAGGUAGAGAAUACCAAGGCGCUUGAGAGAACUCGGGUGAAGGAACUAGGCAAAAUGGUGCCGUAACUUCGGGAGAAGGCACGCUGACACGUAGGUGAAGUGAUUUACUCAUGGAGCUGAAGUCAGUCGAAGAUACCAGCUGGCUGCAACUGUUUAUUAAAAACACAGCACUGUGCAAACACGAAAGUGGACGUAUACGGUGUGACGCCUGCCCGGUGCCGGAAGGUUAAUUGAUGGGGUCAGCGCAAGCGAAGCUCCUGAUCGAAGCCCCGGUAAACGGCGGCCGUAACUAUAACGGUCCUAAGGUAGCGAAAUUCCUUGUCGGGUAAGUUCCGACCUGCACGAAUGGCGUAAUGAUGGCCAGGCUGUCUCCACCCGAGACUCAGUGAAAUUGAACUCGCUGUGAAGAUGCAGUGUACCCGCGGCAAGACGGAAAGACCCCGUGAACCUUUACUAUAGCUUGACACUGAACAUUGAGCCUUGAUGUGUAG
This 1100-nucleotide ribosomal RNA is filed under the name Salmonella enterica. RNAcentral describes it as "partial 23S ribosomal RNA". It matches the Rfam family "Bacterial large subunit ribosomal RNA", at positions 1058 to 2141 of the family's 2925-position model. Lineage: Bacteria; Pseudomonadati; Pseudomonadota; Gammaproteobacteria; Enterobacterales; Enterobacteriaceae. The record is from RNAcentral. RNAcentral also lists the same sequence under 1 other name.